GGUUGCGAUCAUACCAGCACUAAUGCACCGGAUCCCAUCAGAACUCUGCAGUUAAGCGUGUUUGGGCGAGAGUAGUACUAGGAUAGGUGACCCCCUCGGAAGUCCUCGUGUUGCAACCC
This 119-nucleotide ribosomal RNA is filed under the name Helianthus annuus (common sunflower). The record is from RNAcentral. Lineage: Eukaryota; Viridiplantae; Streptophyta; Magnoliopsida; Asterales; Asteraceae.